AUUGAACGCUGGCGGCAGGCCUAACACAUGCAAGUCGAGCGGAGCGGCGGACGGGUGAGUAAUGCCUAGGAAUCUGCCUGGUAGUGGGGGAUAACGUCCGGAAACGGGCGCUAAUACCGCAUACUAUCAGAUGAGCCUAGGUGGGAUUAGCUAGUUGGUGGGGGAAAGGCCUACCAGGGCGACGAACCUGAUCUGGUCUGAGAGGAGGAUCAGUCAAACUGGAACUGAGACACGGUCCAGACUCCUACGGGAGGCAGAAGUGGGGAAUAUUGGACAAUGGGCGAAAGCCUGAUCCAGCCAUGCCGCGGGUGUGAAGAAGGUCUUCGGAUUGUAAAGCACUUUAAGUUGGGAGGCGUUACCUACAGAAUAAGCACCGGCUAACUUCGUGCCAGCAGCCGCGGUAAUUC
RNAcentral lists this ribosomal RNA (407 nucleotides) under uncultured bacterium. RNAcentral describes it as "partial 16S ribosomal RNA". It matches the Rfam family "Bacterial small subunit ribosomal RNA", at positions 30 to 526 of the family's 1533-position model. The record is from RNAcentral.